RNAcentral lists this ribosomal RNA (506 nucleotides) under Salmonella enterica subsp. enterica serovar Durham. RNAcentral's name for it is "partial 23S ribosomal RNA". It matches the Rfam family "Bacterial large subunit ribosomal RNA", at positions 2434 to 2925 of the family's 2925-position model. Lineage: Bacteria; Pseudomonadati; Pseudomonadota; Gammaproteobacteria; Enterobacterales; Enterobacteriaceae. The record is from RNAcentral.
UGGAAGGGCCAUCGCUCAACGGAUAAAAGGUACUCCGGGGAUAACAGGCUGAUACCGCCCAAGAGUUCAUAUCGACGGCGGUGUUUGGCACCUCGAUGUCGGCUCAUCACAUCCUGGGGCUGAAGUAGGUCCCAAGGGUAUGGCUGUUCGCCAUUUAAAGUGGUACGCGAGCUGGGUUUAGAACGUCGUGAGACAGUUCGGUCCCUAUCUGCCGUGGGCGCUGGAGAACUGAGGGGGGCUGCUCCUAGUACGAGAGGACCGGAGUGGACGCAUCACUGGUGUUCGGGUUGUCAUGCCAAUGGCACUGCCCGGUAGCUAAAUGCGGAAGAGAUAAGUGCUGAAAGCAUCUAAGCACGAAACUUGCCCCGAGAUGAGUUCUCCCUGAGACUUAGAGUCUCCUGAAGGAACGUUGAAGACGACGACGUUGAUAGGCCGGGUGUGUAAGCGCAGCGAUGCGUUGAGCUAACCGGUACUAAUGAACCGUGAGGCUUAACCUUACAACGCCG